RNAcentral lists this ribosomal RNA (510 nucleotides) under uncultured bacterium. Its description in RNAcentral is "partial 16S ribosomal RNA". It matches the Rfam family "Bacterial small subunit ribosomal RNA", at positions 28 to 507 of the family's 1533-position model. The record is from RNAcentral.
GACGAACGCUGGCGGCGUGCUUAACACAUGCAAGUCGAACGAAGAGCGAUGGAAGCUUGCUUCUAUCAAUCUUAGUGGCGCACGGGUGAGUAACGCGUAAUCAACCUGCCCUUCAGAGGGGGACAACAGUUGGAAACGACUGCUAAUACCGCAUACGAUCUAAUCUCGGCAUCGAGGAUAGAUGAAAGGUGGCCUCUACAUGUAAGCUAUCACUGAAGGAGGGGAUUGCGUCUGAUGAGCUAGUUGGAGGGGUAACGGCCCACCAAGGCGAUGAUCAGUAGCCGGUCUGAGAGGAUGAACGGCCACAUUGGGACUGAGACACGGCCCAGACUCCUACGGGAGGCAGCAGUGGGGAAUCUUCCGCAAUGGACGAAAGUCUGACGGAGCAACGCCGCGUGAGUGAUGACGGCCUUCGGGUUGUAAAGCUCUGUUAAUCGGGACGAAAGGCCUUCUUGCGAAUAGUGAGAAUGAUUGACGGUACCGGAAUAGAAAGCCACGGCUAACUACGUG